RNAcentral lists this long non-coding RNA (1203 nucleotides) under Pongo abelii (Sumatran orangutan). RNAcentral describes it as "lincRNA". The record is from RNAcentral. Lineage: Eukaryota; Metazoa; Chordata; Mammalia; Primates; Hominidae.
GAGGAAGGUGGGUCCCUGGCUAGGGCUCCACCCCCAUGAAUCUAGGGGUGCUCAAUGUCAUCACAAGGGUCCUUAAGAGGGAAAGAGGAAGCCAUGAGGGUCAGAGUCAAAGGAAGACUUGAAGAUACUACACUGAGGACUUUAAAGAUGAAGGAAGGGGCGAAAACCAAGAAUGUGGGAAGCCUCUAGAAGCUAGAGAAGGCAAGGAAACAGAUUUUCCACUAGAGCCUCCAGAAGGAACACAGCCCUGCUGACCCACUGUAAUGUCUGACCUCUAGAUGUGUAAGGGUAGUAAGACUGAAAGUCUCAGAAAGGCACUGUUACAUUCUUAUUCCACAACCAUGCAACUCAAAACUGGGGUCCUCAGCAAUGAGCGAGGGGCGAGAGAAGGCACUGUAUAAACAUGGCACAUCCUCCUGGAAAGUCAACUUUACUCAAAGGUUCUUACACACAGUGACAGCUAGCAGAGUCUAAAGUGCUGACAUUAUGACUUAGAGAUGUGAUAAAGAGAAACAUCUAUUGCAUUUUCUGUACCAAAAGCUUUUACUUCACUGGGGAGAUUUUUCACAUGGGAGGAAAAGGACAAGUGGACUAUCACCUAUGUGGUCAGCUUACAACCUGAAUUUCUUGGAAAUGACCUAAUUUAAUUAUCUUCAUGGAUCUCCUUUGCUCUUUGAAUGAAGAGUAGUCAGCUAUUUUUUUGUGUGUGUGUGUGUUCUGAAUGAGGCUCUUGAGUGUCAGUUGCCAUUUUAAUGAAGUAGUGAUUUGGGCCCUUUCCUGAGAAUACAAGAGUUCAGGUGUCAUGCUAGUUGGCUUGGCCCCUCUUAUUCUUCCAGUAUCCCUGAUAGGUCAGAUCAGAGUGAUUCUGGAGGGAAAGUAUGUUUCACUGUGGAUAUGUACAAUGGCAAUUCCCAGUUCUGGAAUUUAACUUAAUUCAAUUAUUCACAUGAUGAGCAGCAUCCACACACUCCUGGUAAAAUUUGAUAAAAUGCUGUAGCAUCAAGAUGCUUUUGUAGAGACCUCUCUGCCAUUACCUGUUUUCUUGACUGGCAUUAAUCUCUACCAAAGCUAGAGACUUGAGCAUCAUCCUGAAUUCAGAGUCAUAAUCUGACAGCUACAGGUCAAAGUUGGCCCAAUGAUGUGUUGUUGGGAGUACCUUGAGCUUCAAAAAAAUAAAUAAAAGUAAUUUUCAACCCUGAAAAA